Molecule: unclassified non-coding RNA, 200 nt
Filed under: soil metagenome
Description: partial contains internal transcribed spacer 2 and large subunit ribosomal RNA
Source: RNAcentral
UGUUCGAGCGUCAUUACAACCCUCAAGCUCUGCUUGGUAUUGGGUGUCACCCCCGGGUGCGCCUUAAAAUCAGUGGCGGUGCGUCUGGCUUCAAGCGUAGUAAUACUUCUCGCUUUGGAGUUCCGGGCGAGCGUCUCGACCCAAACCCCAUAUUUUUUCAGGUUGACCUCGGAUCAGGUAGGGAUACCCGCUGAACUUAA